AGCCCCGUAGUGUAGCGGACCAUCAUGCGAGGUUUUGGUCCUCGUGACCCCAGUUCGAAUCUGGGCGGGGCUA
RNAcentral lists this transfer RNA (73 nucleotides) under Candidatus Heimdallarchaeota archaeon. RNAcentral's name for it is "tRNA-Gln". It matches the Rfam family "tRNA". From Rfam's summary of the family: Transfer RNA (tRNA) molecules are approximately 80 nucleotides in length. Their secondary structure includes four short double-helical elements and three loops (D, anti-codon, and T loops). The record is from RNAcentral. RNAcentral also lists the same sequence under 1 other name. Lineage: Archaea; Promethearchaeati; Candidatus Heimdallarchaeota.